RNAcentral lists this ribosomal RNA (364 nucleotides) under uncultured bacterium. RNAcentral's name for it is "bacterial SSU rRNA". It matches the Rfam family "Bacterial small subunit ribosomal RNA", at positions 282 to 658 of the family's 1533-position model. The record is from RNAcentral.
GGUAGCCGGCCUGAGAGGGCGACCGGCCACACUGGGACUGAGACACGGCCCAGACUCCUACGGGAGGCAGCAGUGGGGAAUAUUGGGCAAUGGAGGAAACUCUGACCCAGCGACGCCGCGUGCGGGAUGAAGGCCUUCGGGUUGUAAACCGCUUUCAGCAGGGAAGAAGCGAAAGUGACGGUACCUGCAGAAGAAGCACCGGCUAACUAUGUGCCAGCAGCCGCGGUAAUACAUAGGGUGCAAGCGUUGUCCGGAAUUAUUGGGCGUAAAGAGCUCGUAGGUGGUUCGUCACGUCGGAUGUGAAACUCUGGGGCUUAACCCCAGACCUGCAUUCGAUACGGGCGAGCUUGAGURUGGUAGGGGA